UGUUAUUUCAUCGAUUUUGUUG
This 22-nucleotide microRNA is filed under the name Medicago truncatula (barrel medic). Its description in RNAcentral is "mtr-miR2657". The record is from miRBase by way of RNAcentral. Lineage: Eukaryota; Viridiplantae; Streptophyta; Magnoliopsida; Fabales; Fabaceae.